CGCUACCUCUCUUACCUUGAUUUCUCACUGCUGAUCGAAACCCUAAGCUAACACCUCAAAAAAGCCAACCCAAAAUCUGAAUGCAAACCACUCUCCCGCCACACUUUCUGUCUUCCUCCACCGUCAUUCGCCAUCUGCAAUUUCUCCAUGCUCAUCUCUUUAAUCUCUUACCACUUUUGUCUAUAAACGUCAAACCCCCAUCAUACCCUUUUCUAAUUCCCUUCCAAAUUUCCCAUAUUUUUCUCAAUCUAACACCCAAUUUUCUCUGCCCAGCAUUUUGAUAUGCAGGGUGUGGGGGAUCAUGGGUUCCAAGGAUCCUGCUCCGGUGGUUGACAACGUUAAGAGGGCAAAGCAGGUGCCGGUGGACUGAUUUCACUCUCUUUAUAGCGUGCAAGUGGAAACAUAAAUGUGGUAUUGCUUAUAUUUGCAUAAGAGGUCUUGUGUGAAAAUUAAAGUCGGACAAUAUCAAGGGGGAAUUGUACUUGGUAUUAAUAAAUUGGAGGAUAGAUUUGUGUCUCGAACUAGCAUGUCAUGCACAAGCCAAAGGUAUAGAAUUCCUAUCUAGCUAGCUUCACCCAAUACAUUCCUUUAUCAACACCAAGUUCUCUUUUUUUUUUUUUUUUGAACAAUCUAGGUUAUCAAAUUUUGAGAUCU
Long non-coding RNA from Rosa chinensis, 654 nucleotides. RefSeq lists it as uncharacterized. The record is from RefSeq and is a predicted model, not a curated record. NCBI's taxonomy places the organism in Eukaryota, Viridiplantae, Streptophyta, Magnoliopsida, Rosales, Rosaceae. The transcript has 5 exons.